AAGUCGUAACAAGGUUUCCGUGAGGUGCAACCUGGCAGGGAAGGAUUACAAUUUAAAGAAUUAGGCUUCGCGGCUAAGUUCUCCUACCCUUUGUCAUAACCCGAAAUCCAUUGGUUGGCCUUUGGCAGGUCCCCUGCGAUUUCUCGGGCCUGCCAGAGGUUACAACCUAGAAUCUCUGCUGUCUGAGUACUAUACAAUAGUUAAAA
RNAcentral lists this unclassified non-coding RNA (206 nucleotides) under plant metagenome. Its description in RNAcentral is "partial contains small subunit ribosomal RNA and internal transcribed spacer 1". The record is from RNAcentral.